Molecule: ribosomal RNA, 301 nt
Filed under: uncultured bacterium
Lineage: Bacteria
Description: partial 16S ribosomal RNA
Rfam family: Bacterial small subunit ribosomal RNA
Source: RNAcentral
CAGUAGCCACGGGAAUACAGAGGGUGCGAGCGUUAAUCGGAUUUACUGGGCGUAAAGCGUGCGUAGGCGGCUUUUUAAGUCGGAUGUGAAAUCCCUGAGCUUAACUUAGGAAUUGCAUUCGAUACUGGGAAGCUAGAGUAUGGGAGAGGAUGGUAGAAUUCCAGGUGUAGCGGUGAAAUACGUAGAGAUCUGGAGGAAUACCGAUGGCGAAGGCAGCCAUCUGGCCUAAUACUGACGCUGAGGUACGAAAGCAUGGGGAGCAAACAGGAUUAGAUACCCCGGUAGUCCCUGUCUCUUAUAC